This 350-nucleotide unclassified non-coding RNA is filed under the name soil metagenome. RNAcentral's name for it is "partial contains 5.8S ribosomal RNA, internal transcribed spacer 2, and large subunit ribosomal RNA". The stretch from base 1 to 119 matches the Rfam family "5.8S ribosomal RNA", at positions 35 to 154 of the family's 154-position model. The record is from RNAcentral.
GAUGAAGAACGUAGCGAAAUGCGAUACGUAAUGUGAAUUGCAAAUUCAGUGAAUCAUCGAGUCUUUGAACGCACAUUGCGCCCCCUGGUAUUCCGGGGGGCAUGCCUGUCCGAGCGUCAUUGCUGCCCUCAAGCACGGCUUGUGUGUUGGGCCCCGUCCUCCGAUCCCGGGGGACGGGCCCGAAAGGCAGCGGCGGCACCGCGUCCGGUCCUCGAGCGUAUGGGGCUUUGUCACCCGCUCUGCAGGCCCGGCCGGCGCUGGCCGACGCGAAAGCAACCAUUUUUUCUCCAGGUUGACCUCGGAUCAGGUAGGGAUACCCGCUGAACUUAAGCAUAUCAAUAAGCGGAGGA